UUCUAAUGUCUUCCCUUAAGGUUGCUUGGUGCGGAGGGAUCACCUAUUAGAUGUAUACUGAUUAAGUAACACUCUCCUCGUAUCUGCCUCAGCCAUAAGGAAGCACUGCGCUGGAGAUAGCAUUGAAUAAAGAAAAAGUGCUGCAAAGGAAGGGGACGUAGCUUAGGCUGUAAUUUUUAUCUGCUGUUACGCUGAAAAUGCGUUGCUUGAGCAAAUAAUCUGCAGUUUUCAUGUAAUGUCUUAUGGUUUUGUGGAUUGACAGUGUCAUUAACAUAUUUAGAUCCAAGUUAUUUUUAACGCCAUUAUAUUGCUUUCGACAGGAGAGGAAAAUUUCAUGGGUGUUUCGCUAAUCCAUUGAAAGUUACUCUCAUCGAUAAUAUGUAUAUAUUUGGUUAAA
Long non-coding RNA from Solanum pennellii, 397 nucleotides. RefSeq lists it as uncharacterized. Lineage: Eukaryota; Viridiplantae; Streptophyta; Magnoliopsida; Solanales; Solanaceae. The record is from RefSeq and is a predicted model, not a curated record. The transcript has 2 exons.